GCUAGUAAUCGCGGAUCAGAAUGCCGCGGUGAAUACGUUCCCGGGUCUUGUACACACCGCCCGUCACACCAUGGGAGUCGGAAAUGCCCGAAGUCUGUGACCCAACCUGAGAGGGGAGGGAGCAGCCGAAGGCAGGUCUGAUGACUGGGGUGAAGUCGUAACAAGGUAAC
Molecule: ribosomal RNA, 170 nt
Filed under: uncultured bacterium
Lineage: Bacteria
Description: partial 16S ribosomal RNA
Rfam family: Bacterial small subunit ribosomal RNA
Source: RNAcentral